Molecule: long non-coding RNA, 202 nt
Filed under: Elaeis guineensis (African oil palm)
Lineage: Eukaryota; Viridiplantae; Streptophyta; Magnoliopsida; Arecales; Arecaceae
Description: long non-coding RNA (EGUI_LNC027859)
Source: RNAcentral
CGUGGAUACGAUCCCAACUCAUUCUAUCUAUGUAGUUUGAGUUAGAUUUAUUUUUGACCACCUACGACAGUGAUCAACUAUCUAGCAACACUUGCUGGUGGCAAUAUAUAUAAAAUUGAGCACGAUCUUAAUCAGUAUAUUGUAGAUUUGGAUAAGUAUGGGUGUAACUAUUGCCCAAAAAAGUAGCAAUCCAAGAGGGGAG